AGGAACGCGAAGAACCUUACCAGGUCUUGACAUCUUUUGAUCACCUGAGAGAUCAGGUUUCCCUUCGGGGGCAAAAUGACAGGUGGUGCAUGGUUGUCGUCAGCUCGUGUCGUGAGAUGUUGGGUUAAGUCCCGCAACGAGCGCAACCCUUAUGACUAGUUGCCAGCAUUUAGUUGGGCACUCUAGUAAGACUGCCGGUGACAAACCGGAGGAAGGUGGGGAUGACGUCAAAUCAUCAUGCCCCUUAUGACCUGGGCUACACACGUGUUACAAUGGAUGGUACAACGAGUUGCGAGACCGCGAGGUCAAGCUAAUCUCUUAAAGCCAUUCUCAGUUCGGACUGUAGGCUGCAACUCGCCUACACGAAAUCGGAAUCGCUAGUAAUCGCGAAUCAACACGCCGCGGUUAAAUACUUUCCGGGUCUUGUAA
Molecule: ribosomal RNA, 429 nt
Filed under: uncultured bacterium
Lineage: Bacteria
Description: bacterial SSU rRNA
Rfam family: Bacterial small subunit ribosomal RNA
Source: RNAcentral